Magnolia sinica is the source of this 468-nucleotide long non-coding RNA. RefSeq lists it as uncharacterized. The record is from RefSeq and is a predicted model, not a curated record. Lineage: Eukaryota; Viridiplantae; Streptophyta; Magnoliopsida; Magnoliales; Magnoliaceae. The transcript is spliced from 2 exons.
CCUAAAAUCUAAGUUUAAGACUAAACCCUAAGAUGAAAACCCUAAUCCUACAUUAAGCCCCUAAGAUAAAUAAUCCAAACCCUAGGUUAUAAUCUCAACCAUGAAUAGUUCGUAAAACUCGAUCUAACCAUGUAAUUUCCUAAUUCAUGAUAGGACUCGAUUAUAAGGGACCACAUGUCCCCUAGCCAUGCUGGUAGGCGAUCCAACUGUAAGGUAAUACAGGUGACUUUAGUGAUAUGUAUGUUCAGACUUGAUGAGGAGCAGGGUACGAUCGCCAGGAAUGCAUGACUGUAUUUACCUGGAGGAGCUGCGUGAUCUUGCUGUUGACAUUUAUAUGCUUUCCGUCAUUCUUCAUGUAUUAAAUUCUUGUAAAUCUUGUACUUGUUAAAUUUAGAGACAUUAGUUUGUAUAAGUCAUUAUGGGCAGCUUCUUGUAAAUUUGAAUGAUAAUGAAAUUUUCCUUUAUGUC